Oreochromis niloticus (Nile tilapia) is the source of this 378-nucleotide long non-coding RNA. RefSeq lists it as uncharacterized. The record is from RefSeq and is a predicted model, not a curated record. Lineage: Eukaryota; Metazoa; Chordata; Actinopteri; Cichliformes; Cichlidae. The transcript has 3 exons.
AGGCAAGGAAGUUGAGGCUGCAGGCCACGGUGAUUAUAUGAAAGAUCCUAAAACUGGAAAGAAAAUUAACUAUCUAAAGGAACUCCAGUGUGCAAAAAUGGAUGUUGCUGAUUGUAAGGAUAUCAAAUACCUUAAAUGCUUUGGAAAUACGCCACAUGAGAACAAGAUGUGUUACAGCAAAUCUAACACCCAUACAUGUCCGGGUGAUUCUGGUGGUGGCGUGAUAUACAAUAAUAAGAUCUAUGGUGUACACAAAGGUGGUACUUGUGGCUGUGCUGGACCAGAUUUUUCUGUAAAGGUCUGUCCUUACAUUCACUGGAUAACCAAGAAGAUUGAUCCAAAAAGUAAUGGAAAAUAAUAGAAUGAAAAUAACAUUCA